Molecule: long non-coding RNA, 483 nt
Organism: Erpetoichthys calabaricus (reedfish)
Lineage: Eukaryota; Metazoa; Chordata; Cladistia; Polypteriformes; Polypteridae
Exons: 2
Source: RefSeq, a predicted model, not a curated record
UUCAUUUUGUUCAUUACAUUGUGUUGAGUAGGGCAGUGUAGAUGCACAUAGAAAAUAUUUUAAACCAAGUGUUGUAAUUUUAACCAAGGUGUCCACAAUGUUUAAAAUCUGCAGAAUGUCACUAAAGAUGAUCAGUUGUGCAUAUCUACAAUGCACGUAUUAGAAUGUUUGAGACAUGUAUUAGAAUAUAUAGUAAGUGUAAGGUGUUAAGGGAUAGAACAAGCAAUGGUGAGUUUCAUUUUGUUCAUUACAUUGUGUUGAGUAGGGCAGUGUAGAUGCACAUAGGUAAUAUUUUAAACCAAGUGUUGUAAUUUUAACCAAGGUGUCCACAAUGUUUAAAAUCUGCAGAAUGUCACUAAAGAUGAUCAGUUGUGCAUAUCUACAAUGCACGUAUUAGAAUGUUUGAGACAUGUAUUAGAAUAUAUAGUAAGUGUAAGGUGUUAAGGUGGUAGGAAUUGCUGGUGCAAGUAAAUCAGACUAUAA